This 824-nucleotide unclassified non-coding RNA is filed under the name Hevea brasiliensis (rubber tree). The record is from RNAcentral. Lineage: Eukaryota; Viridiplantae; Streptophyta; Magnoliopsida; Malpighiales; Euphorbiaceae.
GGCCCUCUAACUUCAAUACCAAACAAGCACUACAAAGUGACUCAUACAGACACAAUUGCACUAAGAAUAAGAGUCAUGAAAUACUCAGGACCUUUGACGGGUUGCAAACUCUCUUCUUAGCAAAACAUGACUAGAUAUAUUCCAAGUCAAAGAAAGGAACUUGUCACAUAAAGAAUAGGAUAAAGCUGAACACUAUAUUAUUCGUACUUCUACACUAUUUUGCAUAUAGAUAGGAAUAGAUGACUAUUGUAUAGAUUAUCACUAUCUGUUCUUCUGAAUUUUAUGAUAGAAUUAGAAAUUAGUAUAUGACUUGUACACACUAUACUUGUAAAUUUGAAGCUAAUGCUCUUUAUAAUCAAUUCAUCUCGAACAUACAACAUAAAACUCCUUAGUCCUUUUUCUCUUUUGAUCCAGGAUACCACCCCAUUCCUAACUUUUGAAGGUUACUGAAGACCCUUAUAAUGCUUCCUAAGGUGUUGUAAGAUCUUUUAGCUUAGAAAAGUCAGUAGACCUCAUCGAGCUUCCCAAGAUUUUGCAAGAUUCAUUAACCUAUUCUAAAGUUGGCGAAGACCCUUGUCGCAUUUCCCAAGGUGUUGCAAGCAUUCCUUGUCCCCUCUAAGGCUUCCAAAGGUCUUGUUAGCUGCUUUGUCUUCUGGCUACUCCAAGCCGAAAUGAAACAUUCCUUCAGUGAAGUUGUUUGCUCGUAAACAGUCAACACAGACACAUGGUGCACUUCAUCGAAUAUGUCAUUGGCACGCUCGCAAUAUUCAUCACCAAGAUCACCCUCGUGUCAAAAAUAUAGUUCAAUGUGUAACAAUUAUUAU